UACAUGGGGUGCAAACGUUGCUCGGAAUUAUUGGGCGUAAAGCGCGCGUAGGCGGUUACUCAAGUCGGAUGUGAAAGCCCUCGGCUUAACUGAGGAAGUGCACCCGAAACUGAGUAGCUAGAGUACUAAAGAGGGUCGCGGAAUUCCCGGUGUAGAGGUGAAAUUCGUAGAUAUCGGGAGGAACACCGGUGGCGAAGGCGGCGACCUGGGUAGAUACUGACGCUGAGGCGCGAAAGCGUGGGGAGCGAACGGG
RNAcentral lists this ribosomal RNA (253 nucleotides) under uncultured bacterium. RNAcentral's name for it is "partial 16S ribosomal RNA". It matches the Rfam family "Bacterial small subunit ribosomal RNA", at positions 524 to 776 of the family's 1533-position model. The record is from RNAcentral.